UCGGGUGUAGAGCAGUCGGUUAGCCUAUCCCGAUUUAUAAUCAGGAGGGUCCCAGGUUCCCUGCCUGCCGUUGACGACAGUCAGGCAGGGAAUCCUGGCACCCCGAC
This 107-nucleotide transfer RNA is filed under the name Candidatus Brachybacter algidus. Its description in RNAcentral is "tRNA-Ile". Lineage: Bacteria; Pseudomonadati; Bacteroidota; Saprospiria; Saprospirales; Saprospiraceae. The record is from RNAcentral.